AAGUCGUAACAAGGUUUCCGUAGGUGAACCUGCGGAAGAAUCAUUAACACGUAUCCAAACGGUAAAACCCCCCCCGCGAACCUUCAUCCUGCUCUUGUAACCCGCGUAGUUCGCAAUCUCUGAUAAAUCAUAGCCCGGAAAGUUGUAGUGAUUCAGAGACCUCUGGCUACGUGCGAACAUUGGAACAGUUACGGAAAGUGUCAUUGAUUGUGCAAGGAUAGCGCUUCUACGAUUCCUGUAGACCGUACACUCGGGCAGGAGCUUUGCCAAAGGGUCCCCAUGCCCCCUAAUAACCCCACAGUUUAAUGUGAAGCUCAAUGUAAUACAUUGGGUAAAAAAACCGAACAACUGUUAACAAUGGAUAUCUUGGUUCUC
RNAcentral lists this unclassified non-coding RNA (375 nucleotides) under fungal sp. Its description in RNAcentral is "partial internal transcribed spacer region". The stretch from base 1 to 46 matches the Rfam family "Eukaryotic small subunit ribosomal RNA", at positions 1786 to 1831 of the family's 1831-position model. The record is from RNAcentral. Lineage: Eukaryota; Fungi.